This is a vault RNA of 101 nucleotides. Its record names the gene Vault. It matches the Rfam family "Vault RNA". From Rfam's summary of the family: This family of RNAs are found as part of the enigmatic vault ribonucleoprotein complex. The complex consists of a major vault protein (MVP), two minor vault proteins (VPARP and TEP1), and several small untranslated RNA molecules. The record is from Ensembl.
ACGCUGGGUAGCUCAGGGGAUACUUCAACUGCGUCACCGGUUAACUAACCUGCUGGUCCACGGGCCAAAGGUUCAAACCCCGGGUGCAGUCCAGCGUUUUA